CGUAAAACGGUUAUCUCCUCCUCUUGACUCUUGUAAGUUAUAACCCUUAUCGAAUCGAUGCUCACUCUUUACCUAAAAACGACUCAUCCUCCCCUCAAAUCGCCUUCACGAGCCUACCCUUUGACCAUCGCACAUCUCAAACAGGCAUGUGGCGUCUUGAUUCUGCCAACUGAAACCCAUAUCGUGUUCUUCAUCGCAGCUGUUGCAGCCGUUCCACACCAGCAAUCAGCUCCCUUGGAUUACUCCGACUACUAUCACCGACGUCACGUUCCAGUUGAUCUCUCUUGUAAGUCUGUAAAAGUGGAAGGUUUGAAGAUGCAUACCAAUUGCUCGAUGAAAUGCAGCAACCAAAAUAACUUCUAUUUCACAUGUUUUACUAGUCUUCUGGAGACAUUGGACACGGUCAGGUGCAAUCUAGCAAUUUUCUGGAACUAGCAAUGGCUUAUUUCUCCAGUGGUUAUAUUUCAACCACUUAUUAUUAUGGUGGUAACUGGUUAUGAUGGGAUUAUGAGUAAUUGGGUGCGUGUGACUACUCUAGAUAUGUGGUCGGUAGGAUGAGACAGCAGCCCAUGUUCUAGUUACCUGUCCUAUGGCCGAUUUGGUGUGGAGUCAGAUAUGCUACUGGUUAAAAUUACUUAUGAGUUAUGCUGUGGAUAAUGCAAGUCAGGUUUUUCAGAUGGCCAGGAAUGACCAGGUUUUCAAAGGGGUAGCCCCUCGGUUUUUAAAAUGGUGGAAGAAGCGAAAGAAGUGUCAUAUGAAUGGUUAAAAACUUAUCAAAAGCGGAAGACGUCAAUUGGAGGAGCUGGAUCAAUCACGACACUCUAAAAUGCGGAAAAGCAAGGUUUUCUUUAGGGCUGGAGACAGGGGCUUGCUCUACCAUAUACCAAGGGUAAAUAUCUUUAAACUGAUGAUGACAGGGUAGAUAUCAUGAGAAGCUUUGGAGUAAAGUUUUAUGAUAGUGAAAUUAUUACUCAAAAGAACAUUCAAACUCCUCGUAACAAUUGGAAUUUGGAAUAUGUUGCUUCUACACAAUGUUUUGCUAACAUUUGGAAUAUUUUCGGGUGGAACUUAUUAUUGAAGUUAAAAUAUUAUGAUUUCUA
Helianthus annuus (common sunflower) is the source of this 1100-nucleotide long non-coding RNA. RefSeq lists it as uncharacterized. Lineage: Eukaryota; Viridiplantae; Streptophyta; Magnoliopsida; Asterales; Asteraceae. The record is from RefSeq and is a predicted model, not a curated record. The transcript is spliced from 6 exons.